AGCGAACGCUGGCGGCAGGCCUAACACAUGCAAGUCGAGCGGCCGUAGCAAUACGGCAGCGGCAGACGGGAGAGUAACACGUGGGAACGUACCCUUCGGUUCGGAACAACCCAGGGAAACUUGGGCUAAUACCGGAUACGUCCGAAAGGAGAAAGAUUUAUCGCCGAAGGAUCGGCCCGCGUCCGAUUAGCUAGUUGGUGAGGUAACGGCUCACCAAGGCGACGAUCGGUAGCUGGUCUGAGAGGAUGAUCAGCCUCACUGGGACUGAGACACGGCCCAGACUCCUACGGGUGGCAG
RNAcentral lists this ribosomal RNA (297 nucleotides) under uncultured Pseudomonadota bacterium. RNAcentral describes it as "uncultured proteobacterium partial 16S ribosomal RNA". It matches the Rfam family "Bacterial small subunit ribosomal RNA", at positions 29 to 351 of the family's 1533-position model. Lineage: Bacteria; Pseudomonadati; Pseudomonadota. The record is from RNAcentral.